Leptodontidium sp. MPI-SDFR-AT-0119 is the source of this 120-nucleotide non-coding RNA. The record is from the annotation of a GenBank genome assembly. NCBI's taxonomy places the organism in Eukaryota, Fungi, Ascomycota, Leotiomycetes, Helotiales, Leptodontidiaceae.
GGUGACGUGGCCGAGCGGUUAUGGCGCUAGUUUCAGGAACUUCUCAUCCCUUUCCCUAGGGUGAUAAGAAUCAAUCAAUACUAGUUCGAAAGAGCAUGGGUUCGAAUCCCAUCGUCAUCA